CAGUCGCCGCGGUAAAACGAACCGUGCGAACGUUAUUCGGAAUCACUGGGCUUAAAGCGCGUGUAGGCGGAUGGGAGCGUCGGCCUCUGUAAUCCCCCGGCUCAACCGGGGAAGUGGAGCCGAAACGACCCGUCUGGAGGGACGUAGGGGGACCUGGAACUUCCGGUGGAACGGUGAAAUGCGUUGAGAUCGGAAGGAACGCCCGUGGCGAAAGCGAGGUCCUGGACGUCUGCUGACGCUGAGACGCGAAAGCCAGGGGAGCGAACGGGAUUAGAUACCCGGGUAGUCCCUGUCUCUUAUU
This 301-nucleotide ribosomal RNA is filed under the name uncultured bacterium. Its description in RNAcentral is "partial 16S ribosomal RNA". It matches the Rfam family "Bacterial small subunit ribosomal RNA", at positions 509 to 807 of the family's 1533-position model. The record is from RNAcentral.